CUAUCUCAGGGUUUGUAUGCAAAGAGCACCUGAUCGAGAUUUUGUUCCCAUUGAUCCAGAUAUCGAACGCACAUUUCAUCACAGGCAAAGAGAAGCAAGAGCAACACAACAAAUUCAAAAAGACCAAAAACAGCAAUAACAGAUGACUAAUGAGCAAAAUCAUCCGGUAAUUCAACUCAACGAAGGCGCGGGGGUUGAAGAUGAAGGGAAUAUGGUACUUGGGGACUUCAUGCACCGUUGGUGGUCCAGAGUCAAUCUAGCAUUGUGUAUCCUCCAUUUGGGCAACCGAACUUCCAGCUAAAAACAAAUGUAAUUCAACUAUUUCAGAAUAGGCAUCAAUUCCACGGGAUGGCUAAUGAGAAUCCACAUACACACAUAUCCCGAUUUCUAGAUAUGUGCCAACACUUUAGGUAUCAGGGUAUCUCAGACGAUGCUAUAAGACUGCGAAUGUUUCCACCCACAUUGCGGGAUAAAGCACUUGAAUUGCUGGAUUCACUUCCCGUCGCAAGUAUCACCACUUGGAAUGAGCUAGCCCACGAAUUCUGCACCAAGUUCUUCUUGCCAACUAAGGUAGCAAAAAUGCGACAUGACAUAUCUAUAUUCAACCAAGGCGAGUCUGAAUCAUUUGAAGAGGCCUGGAAUCGCUUCAAAAAUAUGUUAAGGAAGUGUCCUCAGCAUGG
Molecule: long non-coding RNA, 680 nt
Filed under: Olea europaea subsp. europaea
Lineage: Eukaryota; Viridiplantae; Streptophyta; Magnoliopsida; Lamiales; Oleaceae
Source: RNAcentral